AACCCACUCAAGCCUGGCUUGGUAUUGGAUGUCGAGGUCCCCUCGCGUCUCCAUUUCGCCGGCUGGCCGUCGUUUGACUUAGCGUUGUGACACAUGUCGUUAACGAAAACGCGGACUGCGCCGUUAGAAUUCUCUUGGACGUCAAUUGACGUCCAGUAAA
This 160-nucleotide unclassified non-coding RNA is filed under the name uncultured fungus. Its description in RNAcentral is "sequence contains ITS2". Lineage: Eukaryota; Fungi. The record is from RNAcentral.